RNAcentral lists this ribosomal RNA (1095 nucleotides) under Metabacillus idriensis. RNAcentral's name for it is "bacterial SSU rRNA". It matches the Rfam family "Bacterial small subunit ribosomal RNA", at positions 61 to 1138 of the family's 1533-position model. Lineage: Bacteria; Bacillati; Bacillota; Bacilli; Caryophanales; Bacillaceae. The record is from RNAcentral.
GUCGAGCGGACUUGCUGGAGCUUGCUCCAGCAGGUUAGCGGCGGACGGGUGAGUAACACGUGGGCAACCUGCCUGUAAGACUGGGAUAACUCCGGGAAACCGGAGCUAAUACCGGAUAGUAUCUUGAACCGCAUGGUUCAAGUUGGAAAGACGGUUUCGGCUGUCACUUACAGAUGGGCCCGCGGCGCAUUAGCUAGUUGGUGAGGUAAUGGCUCACCAAGGCAACGAUGCGUAGCCGACCUGAGAGGGUGAUCGGCCACACUGGGACUGAGACACGGCCCAGACUCCUACGGGAGGCAGCAGUAGGGAAUCUUCCGCAAUGGACGAAAGUCUGACGGAGCAACGCCGCGUGAGUGAUGAAGGUUUUCGGAUCGUAAAACUCUGUUGUUAGGGAAGAACAAGUGCGAGAGUAACUGCUCGCACCUUGACGGUACCUAACCAGAAAGCCACGGCUAACUACGUGCCAGCAGCCGCGGUAAUACGUAGGUGGCAAGCGUUGUCCGGAAUUAUUGGGCGUAAAGCGCGCGCAGGCGGUUUCUUAAGUCUGAUGUGAAAGCCCCCGGCUCAACCGGGGAGGGUCAUUGGAAACUGGGAAACUUGAGUGCAGAAGAGGAGAGUGGAAUUCCACGUGUAGCGGUGAAAUGCGUAGAGAUGUGGAGGAACACCAGUGGCGAAGGCGACUCUCUGGUCUGUAACUGACGCUGAGGCGCGAAAGCGUGGGGAGCGAACAGGAUUAGAUACCCUGGUAGUCCACGCCGUAAACGAUGAGUGCUAAGUGUUAGAGGGUUUCCGCCCUUUAGUGCUGCAGCUAACGCAUUAAGCACUCCGCCUGGGGAGUACGGUCGCAAGACUGAAACUCAAAGGAAUUGACGGGGGCCCGCACAAGCGGUGGAGCAUGUGGUUUAAUUCGAAGCAACGCGAAGAACCUUACCAGGUCUUGACAUCCUUUGCCACUUCUAGAGAUAGAAGGUUCCCCUUCGGGGGACAAAGUGACAGGUGGUGCAUGGUUGUCGUCAGCUCGUGUCGUGAGAUGUUGGGUUAAGUCCCGCAACGAGCGCAACCCUUGAUCUUAGUUGCCAGCAUUCAGUUGGGCAC